GACGAACGCUGGCGGCGUGCUUAACACAUGCAAGUCGAACGGAGUGGCGAACGGGUGAGUAACACGUGGGUGAUCUGCCUUGCACUUCGGGAUAAGCUUGGGAAACUGGGUAUAAUACCGGAUAGUGCAAGAUGGGCUCGCGGCCUAUCAGCUUGUUGGUGGGGUAAUGGCCUACCAAGGCGUCGGCGGGUAGCCGACCUGGGAGGGUGUACGGGCACAAUGGGACUGAGGGACGGCCCAGACGCGUACGUGAGGCAGCGGUGGGGAAUAUUACACAAUGAGCGGGAGCCUAAGGCAGAGGCGCCGGGGGGGGAAAGAAGGCUUUCGGGUUGGAAACUCCUUUCGGCAGAGACGCGGUACCUGUAGAAGAAGCACCGGCUAACUACGUGCCAGCAGCCGCGGUAAUUC
RNAcentral lists this ribosomal RNA (408 nucleotides) under uncultured bacterium. RNAcentral's name for it is "partial 16S ribosomal RNA". It matches the Rfam family "Bacterial small subunit ribosomal RNA", at positions 28 to 526 of the family's 1533-position model. The record is from RNAcentral.